Long non-coding RNA from Sinocyclocheilus rhinocerous, 387 nucleotides. RefSeq lists it as uncharacterized. The transcript is spliced from 7 exons. The record is from RefSeq and is a predicted model, not a curated record. NCBI's taxonomy places the organism in Eukaryota, Metazoa, Chordata, Actinopteri, Cypriniformes, Cyprinidae.
AUCGUCUGAUAGCAGAUCCAUCAGAUCCUCAAGCACUGAUUGCUCCUGUUAUUUCUGUCUCUACUGAUGGUCUCGUCACGUCUCGCUGUGUGAAUCUGAAGCUUGAGAUCAUCUGUGAUGCUUCAGGAUUCAGACUGGACACCAUCUUCAGAGUGAGGAAUGAAACUGCAGCGACUCCAGACUCAGAUCUGCUGAAUGAAGUGACUCCAGAUCUCCAGCAUUCAGUAGAUCAGCUCUGGUGGCUUUUGGCUGUUUUCAUUGUUCUUCUCAUCAUCUUCUUGAUCUGUUUGUUAAAGCGUAAAAGGGUCUUCAGAUGUUUUCAGGGGUUCAUCUGUCAGCGUGACGAUGAUGAUGCAGAAAACAGGGAUCUUGAAGCUGUUGUCCAAA